Non-coding RNA from Penaeus vannamei (Pacific white shrimp), 1310 nucleotides. NCBI's taxonomy places the organism in Eukaryota, Metazoa, Arthropoda, Malacostraca, Decapoda, Penaeidae. The record is from RefSeq and is a predicted model, not a curated record.
CUCUCUCUCUCUCUCUCUCUCUCUCUCUCUCUCCCUGGACGCGAUCACCGCUGAGCUGUCCUUGCCUCGUCCAUCCCGUAGGUCUGAAUGCAAAGGUCUGCCGCUCAGCCAGAUGUGCUUCCAAUAUGGCGUGCUCUAUGAGGCGGGUUGCAGGCGGGUGGCAGCAGCAUGACUCGGGCGCUCUCUGCAGAAGUUCAAGCUCGAGAGGACCUCCUGAUGAGGAUAUGCGUGUGGCAAUGUGGCAAUAGGUGGAGGGGCCACGCGAUAAGCACAGGGCAAUGUGCAAGGAGGCUCGUCAGUCUGUUUGUCUUGUCUGAUUGCCCGCCUGUCUGUCUGUCUGUCUGUCUCCCCCUCUCUCCCUCUCUCUUCUUCUCUCCGUCUCGCUUUCUUUCUCCAAUUCACUAUCGCUAAGAUAGGUAUGAGGAAAAAGAUUGUAAUCGUAAUGGAGAUGAAUUAAAUCAUAUCGACGGGCUUAUUAUACAGUCAUUUGUGAGUUUAUUAUCAUUAUUAUAUGUAUUUUUGUUUCAUUAAGCAAAAGAAACAGACAUGUGAGGAGAAACUAAGGGAUGCCUUUGACAAUUAGACUCUGGCGUUAAGUCGAAUGCAGUUAAAGGGUGCAUAGCAAGUGCAAUCUUGCACAGAAAAUUGGUCUCAUGGGAUUUUUGCUUAAAAGAUUGACAUAAUUGUUUUGGGACGUUGCUUUUUCUGGGCGUUUCCUCGGUUUUAUAUGUUUUUCUGUUCCUUUUCCUUUCUUUCUUUUGCCCUUAGGGUAUUUCUUCUUCAUAUACCUGUUUUUCAUAUACUUGUUCUUCAUACACUUGUCAUUCGUAAACUAUCAUCCUACCUUAGACUACAUCAUUGUGUCUUUGUUUAUUAUCCUUUGUUUUUGUUUUUUUUUUUACCAAAAUUGGGCAAAGGCAACUCGUGCCUCCUUCUUUAAAACAUCCGAGCGACACACCGCGCUACUCUCGGAGGAAAUGGCUCGUCAAAUAAUCUGUUUACAGACGCAACACAGGACAUUAGGCCCGGCGUGGACUCCCGCGAGAGGGAGCGGGUCACGACUGUCAUAUUUACAUCAUGGUCGACAUCUCCAGGCGCGACAUCAAGCGGUGUGAAAUCCACAGUCCGUAGGCUGCUUUUCAAGCCAUGAAGUAUCUUUAGAAAUCAGCGCCUCAUCAUCUUGGAAACGUUUGCCUCUCAAAAAUGACUUCAUAGACGGACGUGUUGAAGGUCAUAUGGUGCAAGGAUAGGUGAAUAAAGAGGAUGAGGAAGGAUGUUGGAGCCACACGACCGCGUUCCCAUCAAGCCAG